Gallus gallus (chicken) is the source of this 1071-nucleotide long non-coding RNA. The record is from Ensembl. NCBI's taxonomy places the organism in Eukaryota, Metazoa, Chordata, Aves, Galliformes, Phasianidae.
GAUACAUGUCCUACAUCACCGCAGAAGUGCAGGAAAGGGUGCAGGAGGAAGUACUGGAGCCUAAUUACUACCUCCUGUUAUUUGGGACAAGUGUUUUAAAUUUGCAUUCUGCUCUGACAAGCAGUACUCCCUCUAAUGAUCUCAAGUCUUGGUUUGGAGCUGGGAAAAGGAGAUUUCCGGAUAACAUAAAAUAACUGGAGCAGUGCUCACCUCUGUGAGGAUGCUUACUCACCCAGGAGCUGAGGUCUGACCGUGGCGACCAUGAUCUGCAGUAACAUCACGUGGAUGGGGCUGACAUCUCCCCUCCCUGCCCUGCAUGCACUGAAAGCCCUUGCAGGGCACACAUCAAACCCUCUGGGUGUGGAGGAGAAGUACUGUGCAUUGAUACUGCUAUAGCUAGGACCGGGGCUCAAUCCCGAGGAUGCUGCUGGAUAUAGACAGGAGAAACACACAGAAAUGAUGCUGCAAUCAAAUACAGAGUUUACUAUUACUCACAAAACUCAGAGCUGUGAAUUGGAAGCUUAUGACCCUCCCUCAAAUAAGCACUCCUCCACCUCUUCCUACUCCUCUGAGGAGUCAAUGGGGAGGAGUGUGCUUAAACUGUGAGCUCAGUGAGGAGUCUCCACCUGAUGGGCUCCGUGUGAUGCAGAUUUCAGCCCACAUUUCACUUCUCAUGGCUGAAAGAGCAACUGCCCCAACAACUUCCUCGUCUUUGUCUCCAGAACAGGCAGAUUCGUCCUGCAUUGACUGCACAGGUGAGGCUGAGAAGACCGUUUUCCUGCAGCUUGCAGACACAGUGAUGGAGCGUGGGGAUAUUUGCUCCCCCCCGUGGGACUGCCGCCAGGUGGGUGUUGCAGCACCAGGUGGGUGUUGCAGUGCAGGUGUUUGGGGCCGCACACCCCUGCCUGGUUUUCCUGGUGUUCAUCCGGUUCGCUGACCUCCCUGGGGCUUCCCAGGUACCGCAGGGCCACAGCCCGUCUGCUGCUUGAUCAGCAGUUAUGAUUCACCUGUUGAUGCCACAGCUUAAUAACUCACUUAACUGCAGUACUUUGAUUAAAGAGCAACCUAUCU